UUGGGCGUAAGCGAGCGCAGGCGGUUUUUUAAGUCUGAUGUGAAAGCCUUCGGCUCAACCGAAGAAGUGCAUCGGAAACUGGGAAACUUGAGUGCAGAAGAGGACAGUGGAACUCCAUGUGUAGCGGUGAAAUGCGUAGAUAUAUGGAAGAACACCAGUGGCGAAGGCGGCUUUCUGGUCUGUAACUGACGCUGAGAUUCGAAAGCAUGGGUAGCAAACAGGAUUAGAUACCCUGGUAGUCCAUGCCGUAAACGAUGAGUGCUAAGUGUUGGAGGGUUUCCGCCCUUCAGUGCUGCAGCUAACGCAUUAAGCACUCCGCCUGGGGAGUACGAUCGCAAGAUUGAAACUCGAAGGAAUUGACGGGGGCCCGCACAAGCGGUGGAGCAUGUGGUUUAAUUCGAAGCAACGCGAAGAACCUUACCAGGUCUUGACAUACCAUGAAAAGCUAAGAGAUUAGUCUUUCCCUUCGGGGACAUGGAUACAGGUGGUGCAUGGUUGUCGUCAGCUCGUGUCGUGAGAUGUUGGGUUAAGUCCCGCAACGAGCGCAACCCUUAUUAUCAGUUGCCAGCAUUCAGUUGGGCACUCUGGUGAGACUGCCGGUGAUAAACCGGAGGAAGGUGGGGACGACGUCAAAUCAUCAUGCCCCUUAUGACCUGGGCUAC
This 662-nucleotide ribosomal RNA is filed under the name uncultured bacterium. Its description in RNAcentral is "bacterial SSU rRNA". It matches the Rfam family "Bacterial small subunit ribosomal RNA", at positions 554 to 1217 of the family's 1533-position model. The record is from RNAcentral.